Molecule: small nuclear RNA, 149 nt
Filed under: Numida meleagris (helmeted guineafowl)
Lineage: Eukaryota; Metazoa; Chordata; Aves; Galliformes; Numididae
Description: U12 minor spliceosomal RNA (ENSNMEG00000011259.1)
Rfam family: U12 minor spliceosomal RNA
About the family: Although the U12 sequence is very divergent from that of U2, the two are functionally analogous.
Source: RNAcentral
AUGCCUUAAACUUAUGAGUAAGGAAAAUAACGACCCGGGGUGACGCCCGGGUCCUCACUACUGAUGUGAGAGGAAUUUUUGCGCGGGUACAGGUCGUCCCAGGGUGACCCGCUUACUUCGCGGGAUGCCCAGGUGCAAUGAUCUGCCCG